Molecule: RNA transcript, 2315 nt
Organism: Chelonia mydas (Green sea turtle)
Lineage: Eukaryota; Metazoa; Chordata; Testudines; Cheloniidae
Gene: ACSF3
Gene name: acyl-CoA synthetase family member 3
Exons: 10
Source: RefSeq, a predicted model, not a curated record
UUUUUUUCACACACUUCAGAGCAGCACGCAGGCACCAUCAGCUGAUGCAGAGGCAGACAACGGCAGAAAGUUAUCUGGUAGCCUGCUUGUGCUUCUGGUUUGAUCAUGCUCUGGGACGAUGGGGCACACUCCUCCUUUUGCAAGAUUAGUUACAGUGGCAAGAGCUGAUCUUGGAAGAGAGGCAGUGAUAACCACGUGUCUGAGCAUCGAGUCUGAUCAAGUAAUGCUGGCAGAAUGUUGGGCUCCUGGAUAUUUUGCCAUGUGAAUUUACCCAUGCGAUGUCUUGUUCACGGAGUACACCGCUGGAGGUGGCCUGCCUGUGGAUGGAGGAAUGUUGGACAUUUCAGAAAAGGUUUGCACACCACAAGAACAUCAUUCAGUGCUAGGGUUACCCCCGUCUUCACCAGAGCUUUGGCUUUUGGUGAUAAAAUUGCCAUCAUUGAUCAAAAUGGAGAGCACACAUACAGGGAUCUUUACACUCAGAGUGUCCACUUGUCUCAGCAACUCUGUGAAGUGCUCGGAUGUUCCAGUGGAGACCUAAAGGAGGAGCGGAUCUCAUUUUUAUGCCCUAAUGAUGCCUCAUAUGUGGUUGCCCAGUGGGCUUCCUGGAUGAGUGGAGGCAUAGCUGUUCCUCUGUACAGGAAACACCCAGUGCAGGAACUGGAGUAUUUCAUCCAAGACUCCCAGAGUAGUCUAGUCAUUGCCACGGAAGAAUAUGUGAGGGACAUAACCCCUAGUGCUGAGAAACUGGGAUUACCUGUUCUGCCACUUGUUAACUCUGGUAGCAAUGGUUGUGCAAGUGAUAAGGCUGUGGAAGCAUUCCCCUUGGCAAUUGACUGUCCUGAGUGGAAAGAUAGAGGAGCCAUGAUAAUCUACACCAGUGGGACUACAGGAAGACCAAAAGGCGUCCUUAGUACCCAUCAGAAUGUGCAAGCUGUGGUAACAGGGCUGGUUGACAAAUGGGAGUGGACAAAGGAAGAUGUUAUCUUGCAUGUGCUGCCUUUACACCAUGUCCACGGAGUGAUCAAUAAGCUGCUGUGCCCUCUUUGGGUGGGAGCUACGUGCAUCAUGCUACCUGAGUUCAGCCCUCAGAAGGUUUGGGAGAAGUUCUUAAACCCCAGAGCUCCGCGGAUCAACGUCUUCAUGGCGGUCCCCACUAUUUACUCCAGGCUGAUGGAACAUUAUGAAGAACAUUUCUCUCAGCCUCAUGUCCAGGAUUUUGUACGUGCCACGUGUCAGGAUAAUUUCAGGUUAAUGGUUUCAGGAUCGGCAGCCCUUCCUGUGCCAGUCCUGGAGAGGUGGAAGAACAUCACCGGACACACACUGCUGGAGAGAUAUGGGAUGACGGAGAUCGGAAUGGCACUUUCUAACCCCUUGCACGGAGUUCGUGUCCCAGGAUCUGUGGGGACCCCGCUGCCAGGGGUGGAAGUGCGCAUUGCCACGAAGAGUUUGAAAAGGGAAGGUCCUUCCUACACCAUCCACGCUCAAGGAGAUGAAUGUGACACAAAGGUGACCCCCGGCUUAGAUGGCAAAGAAGGGGAGCUUUUCGUUAAGGGGCCUACAGUAUUUCGAGAAUACUGGAAUAGACCUGAAGAAACAAAAGAAGCUUUCACACCCGACGGCUGGUUCAAAACAGGGCUGCAGAGGUGGAAAGCUAGUGCACUCACGCACCAAGAAAACAGCCACACCCGAAGCACAGCUAUGUCUGAUGGUUUUAAGCAGGACAUCAGACUGAAUCUUCCUGAUGUGCAGACAGAAGGCCAGCUUCAUUCCCAGUGUCUCUUCAGAGAGCUCAGUGGAGUCACACCCGGAAUAAGUGACUAUCUGGGAAAGUAGCAGCCCCGGGUGCGGCUAGUAGGAAGCAGAAGUUUUUUGAGAACCUUCCAAAAGUGGCAACAUGGAAUCCAACUGGGAUCCGGCUUCUGGCCAACCAGAGCAAGAGCAAGUACUUAGCUUGCUGAAAACCGUGUCUGGGGGCAUUGGAGAGAUCAGAGCUGCCCCAGGACUCAGGUGACCCAGCUUGCAAGGGUUACCUGCACGAGGGAGAGCGAACGGAAUCUGCCCACACACACACCGCUCCUGGUUCAAGACAAGGGGGUGUAAUUAACACCUUGCCACAUAACGACAGGAGGGUUGGUCUUGACAUCACAAGCAGAAGAUGGUGAAGUUCCAGGAGGAGGGAGACACGGCGGUGUAUAAAGAGGGCAUGUACUGGAUCAAGGGCCGCACCUCUGUGGACAUCAUCAAAAGCGGAGGCUAUAAAAUUAGCGCCCUAGAAGUCGAGCGCCAUCUGCUAGCGCACCCCAGUAUUGCAG